RNAcentral lists this ribosomal RNA (253 nucleotides) under uncultured bacterium. Its description in RNAcentral is "partial 16S ribosomal RNA". It matches the Rfam family "Bacterial small subunit ribosomal RNA", at positions 524 to 776 of the family's 1533-position model. The record is from RNAcentral.
CACGUAGGACGCAAGCGUUAUCCGGAAUUACUGGGCGUAAAGGGCGCGUAGGCGGCUUAUCAAGUCAGGCGUGAAAUUCCCGGGCUCAACCUGGGGGCUGCGCUUGAUACUGAUGAGCUUGAAUGCGGGAGAGGAUAGUGGAAUUCCCAGUGUAGAGGUGAAAUUCGUAGAUAUUGGGAAGAACACCGGUGGCGAAGGCGGCUAUCUGGCCCGUAAUUGACGCUGAGGCGCGAAAGCGUGGGGAGCAAACAGG